RNAcentral lists this ribosomal RNA (421 nucleotides) under uncultured eukaryote. RNAcentral's name for it is "bacterial SSU rRNA". It matches the Rfam family "Eukaryotic small subunit ribosomal RNA", at positions 592 to 1018 of the family's 1831-position model. The record is from RNAcentral.
CAAUAGCGUAUAUUAAAGUUGUUGCGGUUAAAAGCUCGUAGUUGGAUUUCUGCCUGAGGCAGCCGGUCCGCACUUAGUGCGUGUAUCUGGUUUGGUUUGGGCAUCCUCUUGGGGAUCGUUGCUGUGCUUAGUUGCAUGGUGCGGAAUUCAAGACGUUUACUUUGAGGAAAUUAGAGUGGUUACGGCAAGCUAUCGCUUUGAAUACAUUAGCAUGGAAUAAUAACAUAGGACUUUGGUUCUAUUUUGUUGGUUUCUAGAACUAAGGUAAUGAUUAAUAGGGAUAAUUGGGGCGAUUCGUAUUAACACGUCAGAGGUGAAAUUCUUGGAUUGUGUUACGACGAACUACUGCGAAAGCAUUUGCCAAGGAUGUUUUCAUUGAUCAAGAACGAAAGUGCGGGGAUCGAAGAUGAUCAGAUACCGU